GGGGUGCUCGAGUGGCGAACGGGUGAGUAACACGUGAGUAACCUGCCCUUGACUUUGGGAUAACUUCAGGAAACUGGGGCUAAUACCGGAUAGGAGCUCCUGCUGCAUGGUGGGGGUUGGAAAGUUUCGGCGGUUGGGGAUGGACUCGCGGCUUAUCAGCUUGUUGGUGGGGUAGUGGCUUACCAAGGCUUUGACGGGUAGCCGGCCCUGAGAGGGUGACCGGCCACAUUGGGACUGAGAUACGGGCCCAG
Molecule: ribosomal RNA, 251 nt
Filed under: uncultured Actinomycetales bacterium
Lineage: Bacteria; Bacillati; Actinomycetota; Actinomycetes; Actinomycetales
Description: partial 16S ribosomal RNA
Rfam family: Bacterial small subunit ribosomal RNA
Source: RNAcentral